UUUCCGUAGGUGAACCUGCGGAAGGAUCAUUAUUGUACAACCGAGUAGCUAGGUUUUUCGCUUACCUGCACCUGCGUUCACGCCCGAUUGCGCUUAUACACAUCCAUCUCACCCCUGUGUACACCACCCCGUCUGUCGCCCUUUGUCGUGUGCGGAAUGGGUCUUACGUUUUCACUCAAACUUUAUGUUCCGUUGACAGAUCAUUCUUUUUUUAUGCGAUAACGCAAUCAAUCCCACUGUCAACAACGGAUCUCUUCUCUCUCUCAUCGAUGAAGAACC
RNAcentral lists this unclassified non-coding RNA (279 nucleotides) under plant metagenome. RNAcentral describes it as "partial contains small subunit ribosomal RNA, internal transcribed spacer 1, and 5.8S ribosomal RNA". The record is from RNAcentral.